GCUAUUGGAGGCUUGGAAGUCAUUUGGUCCUACUGCAGGCUCUCUAUAGACUAACUUCUGUUCUAUUUAUGUAAAAUUUUCAUUUAAUUUUUCUGUAACAAUUAUUGUAAACAAACAGUAGGGUGAUUAGUUAAGAGGGGAUGGCAGUUAUAUAUAUUGGGUAAAUUGGGUAGAUACUAUGCCUAAAGGGUCCAUGUUGAUUCAAAUGUGUUUGUUAUAGAUACCAUACCUAAAGGGUCCAUGUUGAUUCAAAUGUAUUUGUUAUAUUUGCUUUACUUCCACACAAUUAGAAACCAUGUCUAUAGGAUCUAAAUGGCUUUUAAUAAU
This 327-nucleotide long non-coding RNA is filed under the name Nicotiana benthamiana. RNAcentral describes it as "long non-coding RNA (NBEN_LNC042010)". Lineage: Eukaryota; Viridiplantae; Streptophyta; Magnoliopsida; Solanales; Solanaceae. The record is from RNAcentral.